RNAcentral lists this ribosomal RNA (301 nucleotides) under uncultured bacterium. RNAcentral describes it as "partial 16S ribosomal RNA". It matches the Rfam family "Bacterial small subunit ribosomal RNA", at positions 509 to 807 of the family's 1533-position model. The record is from RNAcentral.
CAGUCGCCACGGUAAUACGAAGGUCCCAAGCGUUGUUCGGAAUCACUGGGCGUAAAGGGAGCGUAGGCGGCGUGGUAAGUCAGAUGUGAAAUCCCGGGGCUCAACCCCGGAACUGCAUUUGAUACUGCCAUGCUUGAGGGUUGGAGAGGUAGCUGGAAUUCUUGGUGUAGCAGUGAAAUGCGUGGAUAUCAAGAGGAACACUCGUGGCGAAGGCGAGCUACUGGACAACAUCUGACGCUGAGGCUCGAAGGCCAGGGUAGCGAAAGGGAUUAGAUACCCGAGUAGUCCCUGUCUCUUAUAC